This 253-nucleotide ribosomal RNA is filed under the name uncultured bacterium. RNAcentral's name for it is "partial 16S ribosomal RNA". It matches the Rfam family "Bacterial small subunit ribosomal RNA", at positions 524 to 776 of the family's 1533-position model. The record is from RNAcentral.
UACGUAGGGUCCGAGCGUUGUCCGGAAUUAUUGGGCGUAAAGGGCUCGUAGGCGGUCUGUCGCGUCGGGAGUGAAAACUUACAGCUUAACUGUGAGCGUGCUUCCGAUACGGGCAGACUUGAGGUAUUCAGGGGAGAACGGAAUUCCUGGUGUAGCGGUGAAAUGCGCAGAUAUCGGGAGGAACACCAGUAGCGAAGGCGGCUCGCUGGGCCACACCUGACGCUGAGACGCGAAAGCUAGGGGAGCGAACAGG